Ipomoea nil (Japanese morning glory) is the source of this 263-nucleotide long non-coding RNA. RefSeq lists it as uncharacterized. The record is from RefSeq and is a predicted model, not a curated record. The transcript is spliced from 3 exons. Lineage: Eukaryota; Viridiplantae; Streptophyta; Magnoliopsida; Solanales; Convolvulaceae.
UUGUGUGUUGUUUUCUGUACUCUUGGCUAAAUGAUGCAUACUAAAAUCAAGAUGUAGUCUUGGCUAUAUAUGAACAGGCAAAUGAGGGGAGAGGAGCUUCAAGAAUUGAGUAUUGAAGAGUUGCAGCAGUUGGAGAGGUCCCUUCAAAUAGGUUUGGGCCAUGUUAUCAACAAUAAGGGUGAAAAGAUUAUGAAGGAAAUAAACCAGCUUCAAGAAAAGGGAGUGCAUUUAAUGGAAGAAAAUGAACGAUUAAGACAGCAGGU